This is a long non-coding RNA of Brassica napus (rape), 1888 nucleotides long. RefSeq lists it as uncharacterized. Lineage: Eukaryota; Viridiplantae; Streptophyta; Magnoliopsida; Brassicales; Brassicaceae. The transcript is spliced from 8 exons. The record is from RefSeq and is a predicted model, not a curated record.
GGCUCAGACCAGACACCCUCUUCAUCAAAGUUACCUCACGCCCAGAAAUUAGAACCACUCACCAUAUCUAAGCUAAACAAUAUGUUAUCACAUCUGAGCCUCAGUUUUUGGUACUCAGACAGAUAAAGGAUGGUGUUAUAUUGGAUGCUUGAAAUGUUCAACAAAGCUACAGCGAGAGAUUUCUUCUUUCACAUGCCUUUUCUGUGAUAAAACCAACGCUGUGGCGGCUGCCCUCAUAUAACAAUACUUAAGCUCUGCUAUCCAUGAUAUUAUAGCUCCCUUCCAAAUAUUUCCUCACUCUAAAAUUCACUAUAUGUCUGUUACUCACUACAGGUACCGCGUGGAGCUGUCUGUAUCAGACCUGAAGGAUGAUGCUGUUUUUGUGGCCUUUGAUAUGGAAAUUGUAACGUUAACAAGCAUUCAAGCAUCUGAAGCUGCGCAAAUUUUGGUAUAGGUUCCUUCUUUCAAGCAUUUAAUUUUAACUAAUUAUCUUACUUCUGUGUAUAGCAAUGAAACCCACCUUAAUAUUUAUAUUAUAUCAAUGAUUAAAUUAUGUUUUCACUUAUCACUGAGUUCAGGGUACAUCUUAUAUAUAUAAAGUACACUUGUGCUCUCUGCACACAGCUCUCCACAUCAUCAGGAAGCAUGGAGCUUCUUCUGCAACGUGGCACUCCCAAACAAACGAACAAGGCUUUUAUUAAAUUUUGUUAUUAAGCCCAGAAUUAUGUCAAGUCCAAAAUUAUGUGAUUAGGGUUAUUCUUCUUCUUCGUCGUUCUUCUUCUUCCCUGCCUCUUGGCUGCCUCUUCCCUGCCUCUUUGCUCUGACAUUUAUUCUGAUUUUUCCAUUCAUUAAUCCACUCUUCAUGCAUUAUGAUUUCGAUCUACCUCUUCGUUCACCCUAUAACUGCCUCGAACUCCAUCUAUAAAUAUGGGCCCUCGCUUCCAUUCACAUCACAACUCAAACAAUUUACUCAAACAUACUAUCUCCUAGAAGCAACAUAUUCAGAUGGCGAUUAAAUCUCUUAUAGGGAAUUCUCGCCACUGCUCAUCGUUUUGCGAUCUGCCUUUCUAACCAUGUCACUCGAAAAGCCCCUACGAUUUGUUUUCUGACUGGUACUUGAAGAUAUAACUCUGGUGUAUUGACUUCAGAGUAAAUGGUCCUGGAAAAUAGGACAAACGAUAAAUGUAUGUGUGAGUUCUUCUAUGAUACAAGGUUCACCCAACUCAACACUUCCUUCCUUCAUCACAAAGUCUGAGUUAUAGAUAAGGAUGAGAAUUAGGAGAAGCACAAGCCAAGACCAAAACACUAAGGUUAUCUCUCUUUGAAAAACUCUUGCAGCAACGUCUCACCCAUUAGGUAUAUUGAAACCCAUUUUCGCCUUUGCUUAGAGCAUCGAACUUGAAGCUUGGAUUUUUUUGUUACCUUUCUUAUAGCUUUCUUAAGGUUCACACAACAACUUAAAGGAGAGCCAGUGCCACAAGAACUGCUAGACAGACUGUGCGAGCUCAUAGCUGUUCUUGCUGGUGGUGCAGCUGCAAAAUCUGAAGCAUUGAAGGAAGAAAUAUUAGCAAUGAGCCUUCUCGUAGAUAAUCCCUUAGCUAGCUGACAAUAACAAACAGCUACCCGGAAGAUGUUAUUGGUGAGCUAAGUACAAUCAGAAGAACGUUCAACACGACGGUAAAUACCGGAAAAUCGUAUAAUGGCAACUCUACGUAUAGAAAGGGAUUUUACUCUGUGUGUUAGGGACUGGCUCUUGCAUUCCAUAGAAAACUGGAGAGCUAUGAGUCGGAGCCCAAUGUUGUGCUAGCUACCAGCAUAAUUUCCAAGACAGUUGGAGGUUCGUCCAAAGAUUGAUAAGAUUGAGAGAAAGGGUUUAUGCAAAACCUUG